CCUACGGGAGGCAGCAGUAGGGAAUCUUUCACAAUGGGCGAAAGCCUGAUGGAGCAACGCCGCGUGCAGGAUGAAGGCCUUCGGGUUGUAAACUGCUUUUAUAAGCGAGAAAUAUGAUGGUAACUUAUGAAUAAGGAUCGGCUAACUACGUGCCAGCAGCCGCGGUCAUACGUAGGAUCCGAGCAUUAUCCGGAGUGACUGGGUGUAAAGAGUUGCGUAGGUGGGAUAAUAAGUAGCUAGUGAAAUCUGGUGGCUCAACCAUUCAGACUAUUAGCGAAACUGUUAAGCUCGAGACCGUUAGGGGUAACUGGAAUUUCUAGUGUAGGAGUGAAAUCCGUAGAUAUUAGAAGGAACACCAAUAGCGUAGGCAGGUUGCUGGGACGGUUCUGACACUAAGGCACGAAAGCGUAGGGAGCAAACGGGAUUAGAUACCCUUGUAGUC
RNAcentral lists this ribosomal RNA (442 nucleotides) under uncultured bacterium. RNAcentral's name for it is "partial 16S ribosomal RNA". It matches the Rfam family "Bacterial small subunit ribosomal RNA", at positions 338 to 795 of the family's 1533-position model. The record is from RNAcentral.